GUGAAUCAUCAAAUUUUUGAACGCAAAUUGCGCUUCCUAGCAUCCCGGGAAGUAUGCCUGUUUGAGGGUCAGUAUUAACAAAAAAAUCGGUUUGGUUGCAAAUUGUGACGUUUCCGGAGUUUGGGCUAUCUUAACUUUUUUGGUUAAGGGGCUUAAAAUUGACCUUUUUGCCGAUUUUUAGGCGUAACUUAAUUUUUUUUUUAUUUGUUUUUUCUUUAUUCCAAAAACUUAUUUAGUUGGAUUA
This 244-nucleotide unclassified non-coding RNA is filed under the name Glomeromycetes sp. Its description in RNAcentral is "partial contains 5.8S ribosomal RNA and internal transcribed spacer 2". The stretch from base 1 to 71 matches the Rfam family "5.8S ribosomal RNA", at positions 84 to 154 of the family's 154-position model. The record is from RNAcentral. Lineage: Eukaryota; Fungi; Glomeromycota; Glomeromycetes.